RNAcentral lists this ribosomal RNA (253 nucleotides) under uncultured bacterium. RNAcentral describes it as "partial 16S ribosomal RNA". It matches the Rfam family "Bacterial small subunit ribosomal RNA", at positions 524 to 776 of the family's 1533-position model. The record is from RNAcentral.
UACAGAGACUGCAAGCGUUAUUCGGAUUCACUGGGCGUAAAGGGCUCGUAGGCGGUCUGUCACGUCGGGAGUGAAAACUCGGGGCUCAACCCCGAGCCUGCUCUCGAUACGGGCAGACUAGAGGUAUUCAGGGGAGAACGGAAUUCCUGGUGUAGCGGUGAAAUGCGCAGAUAUCAGGAGGAACACCGGUGGCGAAGGCGGUUCUCUGGGAAUGACCUGACGCUGAGGAGCGAAAGUGUGGGGAGCGAACAGG